This 167-nucleotide ribosomal RNA is filed under the name Liangdongia berthetii. Its description in RNAcentral is "[Candida] berthetii partial 18S rRNA". It matches the Rfam family "Eukaryotic small subunit ribosomal RNA", at positions 1485 to 1653 of the family's 1831-position model. The record is from RNAcentral. Lineage: Eukaryota; Fungi; Ascomycota; Saccharomycetes; Phaffomycetales; Wickerhamomycetaceae.
GGGCGCACGCGCGCUACACUGACGGAGCCAGCGAGUCUAACCUUAGCCGAGAGGCUUGGGUAAUCUUGUGAAACUCCGUCGUGCUGGGGAUAGAGCAUUGCAAUUAUUGCUCUUCAACGAGGAAUUCCUAGUAAGCGCAAGUCAUCAGCUUGCGUUGAUUACGUCCC